Triticum aestivum (bread wheat) is the source of this 105-nucleotide non-coding RNA. The record is from Rfam. NCBI's taxonomy places the organism in Eukaryota, Viridiplantae, Streptophyta, Magnoliopsida, Poales, Poaceae.
GAAAUACUCCCUCCGUCCCAAAAUAAGUGUCUCAACCUUAGUACAACUUUGUACUAGAGUUAGUACAAAGUGGAGACACUUAUUUUGGGACGGAGGGAGUAACUU